GUGGGUGUAGCUCAAGGGUUAGAGCGCCUGGCUGUGGCCCAGGAGGUUGCGGGUUCGAAACCCGUCACUCACCCCA
This 76-nucleotide transfer RNA is filed under the name Nitrospira sp. Its description in RNAcentral is "tRNA-His". It matches the Rfam family "tRNA". Rfam says of the family: Transfer RNA (tRNA) molecules are approximately 80 nucleotides in length. Their secondary structure includes four short double-helical elements and three loops (D, anti-codon, and T loops). RNAcentral also lists the same sequence under 3 other names. The record is from RNAcentral. Lineage: Bacteria; Pseudomonadati; Nitrospirota; Nitrospiria; Nitrospirales; Nitrospiraceae.